RNAcentral lists this small nucleolar RNA (105 nucleotides) under Gorilla gorilla gorilla (western lowland gorilla). RNAcentral's name for it is "Small nucleolar RNA U13". It matches the Rfam family "Small nucleolar RNA U13". Lineage: Eukaryota; Metazoa; Chordata; Mammalia; Primates; Hominidae. The record is from Rfam by way of RNAcentral.
GUCCUUCUAUAGUUCAUGAGCAUGAGGAUUGGGUGCUCACGGGCACGUGUGAAAUGUGCCACCCUCUGAACCUUGUUACAACAUCGGCACAUUACCCAUCUGACC